AUGUUUAUACAACCAUGGUGGAACCAAUUCCCUACCAGUACUGGCAGGAAAACAGUAAGGAGAUGCUGGGAGUUGUGCCCCUGCAUGCACCUGGGAGUUGUACAGCUCAUUACCUUAACAAGGGAAAGCUGUGAAGUAGGAGAGCAGGUGUUUGGCUGGAGGAAGGUAUCAUUUUUUACCCUUACCAGAAAGGAGGUUGCUGCCUGCAUGCAGCUUGGGACCCAAGAACAGUGUAGACAUGGAGGGAAGUGCUUGAGGAGAGUGUGCUGUGACCAUAGGUGGUAAGCAAUGUCUGCAGGAACACAGGCACUCUGCAACUCCAUCUGUUUUUGCAAAUGAAUAAGUGAACAGAGUUGAACUUCAUUCCUUCACUCUGCAAAAAUGGAUCUUUAAUGACAGAGUGGAAAUUUUGCAUCCUGAUGUACUGCACUGAUAGCCUCUGCAUCUGAGUCUUCUGGGUAUUAAUGGAAUACAAAAUUCACCCUGUGUAGAAAAUCCACACAAGACCAACAGGAGUAGAAUGGUAUAUCAGACUUGUGUGUACACCAGCCUGGUCCGUGGCAGGACAGGCUUCUCAUCAGCACAAGACCCAUCCCUUAUUUGAUGGGAGUCCGUCAAGGGAUUGAUCAGAAUGUCUUUUCUCUAUACCAAUUCAGUACUUUCCUCA
Molecule: long non-coding RNA, 667 nt
Filed under: Anser brachyrhynchus (Pink-footed goose)
Lineage: Eukaryota; Metazoa; Chordata; Aves; Anseriformes; Anatidae
Description: lncRNA (ENSABRG00000020021.1)
Source: RNAcentral